AGUGAACGCUGGCGGUAGGCCUAACACAUGCAAGUCGAACGGCAGCACAGUAAGAGCUUGCUCUUACGGGUGGCGAGUGGCGGACGGGUGAGGAAUACAUCGGAAUCUACUUUUUCGUGGGGGAUAACGUAGGGAAACUUACGCUAAUACCGCAUACGACCUACGGGUGAAAGCAGGGGAUCUUCGGACCUUGCGCGAUUGAAUGAGCCGAUGUCGGAUUAGCUAGUUGGCGGGGUAAAGGCCCACCAAGGCGACGAUCCGUAGCUGGUCUGAGAGGAUGAGCGGCCACAGUUGAAAGUAGACACGGGCAAGACGCCUACGGGAGGCAGCAGUAGGGAAUCUGCCGCAAUGGGCGAAAGCAUGACGGAGCAACGCCGCGUGAGUGAUGAAGGUCUUCGGAGCGUAAAACUCUGUUAUGAGGGAAGAACAAAUGGGUAAGUAACUAUGCACGUCGUGACGGGACCGAAUCAGAAAGCCACGGCUAACUACGUG
RNAcentral lists this ribosomal RNA (492 nucleotides) under uncultured bacterium. RNAcentral's name for it is "partial 16S ribosomal RNA". It matches the Rfam family "Bacterial small subunit ribosomal RNA", at positions 29 to 507 of the family's 1533-position model. The record is from RNAcentral.